Pongo pygmaeus (Bornean orangutan) is the source of this 912-nucleotide long non-coding RNA. RefSeq lists it as uncharacterized. The transcript has 5 exons. NCBI's taxonomy places the organism in Eukaryota, Metazoa, Chordata, Mammalia, Primates, Hominidae. The record is from RefSeq and is a predicted model, not a curated record.
GGCUAGGCAAAGGGUGACCAUAUGACAAGCCCCCAACAUGAAACUCUGGGCAUUGAAUCUCUACUGACCUGCUCAGACAGGGUUUUACUCUAUCACCCAGGCUGGAGUAUAGAGGCACCAUCUCAGCUUACUGCAGCCUUGACCUCUCAGGCUCAACAGAUCCUCCCAUUCAGCCUCCUGAGUAGCUGGGACUACAGGCGCGCACAACCACAUCUGGGAUGCUAGAGAGCAGUCUUCAGCCUGAGACCCAUCUCUAGCUUCUAACAACUCAGUAUACUCCUAUGAACAAAAUUUGGAGCAUAUUUGUUUCUCUCUACCUGAUUUCUUCAGACUGUGGAAACUAUUUGACAUGAGACUUCACAGCCUGCUAAAAAUAAGCUUUUGGGACCUACCCAUCUAGGAAUAAACAGUCCAAGCCUUGAGAGAUCAGAUGAAAUCUGAGGCCAGAGACUCAUUUUCUUCUAAAAUGCUUUCUCCAAAAGAUUUUUAAAUAGAAAAGAGGGGAAAUGUGAAAGGAAAAUGUCUUGAGCCCCUUCAAGCUGGGAACUGCUCAGGACAAAUCUUUCUCUCAUUCUAUUCAAAGUCAUUUCUCUGCUCAGAGACAGAUGCAUAUUCUGAUUGUCUUCUUUGGAAAGACUUAUCAGAAACUCAAAAGAAUGCAACCGUCUGUCUCUCACCUACCUGUGACCUGGAAGCCCAUAGGGUAAAGGGGGCUUGCUUUGAGUUGUCUCUACUUUUCUGAAUGGAACGAAUGUACUUCUUACAUAUAUUGAUUGAUGUCUCAUGUUUCCCUAAAAUGUAUAAAACCAAGCUGUGCCCUGGCCACCUUGGGCAUGUGUUGUCAGGACUUCCUGAGGCUGUGUCACAGGUUCAUUCUCAACUUUGGCAAAUAAACUUUCUAAAUUAACUGAG